GAAGCAGCCAUCCUUGAAAGAGUGCGUAACAGCUCACUGGUCUAGUGGUUCCGCGCCGACAAUGUAGCGGGGCUCAAGCACACCACCGAAGACGCGGCAACAGUUUUUUGCUGUUGGGUAGGAGAGCGUCCCCCGAGGGGCGAAGCGGCCGCGCAAGCGCGCCGUGGACUUCGGGGGAGUGAGAAUGCAGACAUGAGUAGCGAGAGACGGGUGAGGAUCCCGUCCGCUGGAUGACCAAGGGUUCCGGGGCCACGUUCGU
This 259-nucleotide ribosomal RNA is filed under the name Bifidobacterium catenulatum. RNAcentral describes it as "partial 23S ribosomal RNA". It matches the Rfam family "Bacterial large subunit ribosomal RNA", at positions 1109 to 1369 of the family's 2925-position model. Lineage: Bacteria; Bacillati; Actinomycetota; Actinomycetes; Bifidobacteriales; Bifidobacteriaceae. The record is from RNAcentral.